UGGAACAAGUUCCCCGGGGAGGUUGUGGAUGCCCCAUCCCUGGAGGCAUUCAAGGCCAGGCUUGAUGUGACUCUGGGCAGCCUGCUCUAGUGGUUGGCAACUCUGCCUAGAGCAGGGAGGUUGAAACUAGAUCAUCUUUAAGGUCCUUUUCAACCCAGGCCAUUCUAUGGUUCUCUGAUUAUGCACUUAUCUGGAUUCAGG
Molecule: long non-coding RNA, 201 nt
Organism: Oxyura jamaicensis (ruddy duck)
Lineage: Eukaryota; Metazoa; Chordata; Aves; Anseriformes; Anatidae
Exons: 3
Source: RefSeq, a predicted model, not a curated record